CUUCAAUUUCCUGGAAAGGAAAACAACCCCAGUUCUUGAAUGGGCAAAAAAGAGAGUGAAAUUUAACACACACACCCGCCCAGCCCCAUGGCUGCAGCUGGGGGUCCCAUCCAUGAGGGCCUCUGCGAGGAAGACACUUGCGCCAUCUGCCUGGAGUAUUCAAGGGAUCCAGAGAUGAUCCCCAAUUGUGGGCACAACUUUUGCAGAGCCUGCCUGAGCCAGUUCUGGGGGGAGUUGGAAACUGGGGCCUCGUGUUCUGUCAGCCUCAGACUUUCCGCUUGAAAAAUGAGGACGAUAAAAGUGACUUAACGUGCAGGGUCCCUGUAAGGAUUCUGUGCAGAUAAUGUGCUUGAAGUGCUUUGAUCACCUGAAAGAACAGGUGGUUUCAAGAAUUAUUACUGAGAACUUGUGGAGCAUCCCGAACGCAGGGCAUUGAGCGGGAAUGAAAUUUCUCUCAUGGGUGUAAAGAAAAGUUCAUCUCUGAGCUCCUGCUGUUUCUGUCCUCUCUCCUCGUUUGCCCCCCAGAAAACGCAACUUUGGAUCCAGCCAACUUUGGAUCCUGCCUCAUCCUGUCUGAGGAUCAAGAGAGUGUGGGAGAUGGAGAUGCGGAUCCAGAUCUCCCAAACAAUCCUGAGAGAUUCGACACAAACGUCCCCAUGUGCUGGGGAAAGGGGGGAUCACAGCGGGCAGACAUUUUUGGAAGGUCAUUGUAGGGAGUGAGGGGCAUUGGGCUGUUGAGGGGGGGCAGGAAGUCUAUGAAGAGGAAGGGCACGUUAGCUUCUUGUCCUGAGGAUAGGAUCUGGGAGGUGGGGAAAUGGGAAGGAGAAUAGGGCCCUCCUUCCCUCCUGAUGACCCUGCUCUGUCCUUGCGCGAGGAGCCCAAGAGGGUCCGAGGGACUCUGAACUCUCACCUGUCCUUUCACGAUGCAGAUCCAGCAGCCCUUCUCUUGGCAACACGAGAACGGGGCCUUCUCUGCAGUGGCUCCCCAUCUGUGGAAUGCUCUCCCCAGGGAAGUUCACCCGGCGUGUUCAUUAGACACAUUUAGGCAUCAGGCAAAAACGUUCCUUUUUAAUCAGGUGUUCGUUUGACCUGUUUGACAUACUAUAUCCUUUUAAAAUGUGGCACUUUUGGGGCGGUGUUAUUGGGUUGUUGUUUUAUUCUGAUCAUAUAUGUUGUGAUUUUUUCCUGUGAACCGCCCUGAGACCUCCAGGUAUAUGGCAGUAUAUAAAUAAUAAUAAUAAUAAUAAUAAU
Molecule: non-coding RNA, 1251 nt
Organism: Podarcis lilfordi (Lilford's wall lizard)
Lineage: Eukaryota; Metazoa; Chordata; Lepidosauria; Squamata; Lacertidae
Source: the annotation of a GenBank genome assembly